RNAcentral lists this small nuclear RNA (197 nucleotides) under Zalophus californianus (California sea lion). RNAcentral's name for it is "U4 spliceosomal RNA (ENSZCAG00015015427.1)". The stretch from base 1 to 133 matches the Rfam family "U4 spliceosomal RNA". Rfam says of the family: U4 small nuclear RNA (U4 snRNA) is a component of the major U2-dependent spliceosome. The structure of U4 snRNA from yeast and human has been reported. U4 snRNA presents a k-turn RNA motif in the 5p-SL related to recognition of Snu13 protein. Lineage: Eukaryota; Metazoa; Chordata; Mammalia; Carnivora; Otariidae. The record is from RNAcentral.
AGCUUUGCGCAUGGCAGUAUCGUAGCCAAUGAGGUUUAUCCAAGGAGCGAUUAUUGCUAAUUAAGAAACCAAUCCUGUGAAAGUUGAAGACGACAGACAUACUGGCUGAGGAAACUCUGCUAUCGUUUAGACAGGCUAUUCAGUACCUAAAUUCAUCUUCUAAAAUACCCAAUAAUUUUUUUAAAUACAACUUUGUA